GCCAGUAAACAAAUUGAAGAUACAUAACCGCAAAGUGAUUCUCUAUCUAUGCCUAUACUACAUGUAUAUGGUUGUUAAAAAUUAUUGUUGAUUUUGAUAUUACUGUACUGAUUCUAAUAGAAUGAUCUAGAUGAAUUAAAAUAACAUAAUUGUGAAUGAUAGUGUGGGCGUGUUUGGCCCUCAACCAGUAAACAAUAAAGGAUAUAGUAACCACUAUUUAUGGAAACAUAGAUUGAUAUUGACAGUUAUCCACCUUGGAAGCUUUUCACAGUUUAAGGAUACACACAUACUAAUAAUAUUUAGCCUACAAAUAUCUGGGUGUAGACAUCCAGUUAUUCGAUAGGGUAAAUAUAAUAUAAACGUGUAAGAACAUAUUUUUGUCUAGCAGUUUUUAACUAAACAACAUCGAUGAGAGUUUUGGAAGCAGAAAUAGUAUCGACCUAUAAAAUGGGUAAAAAUAAAAAACAUCGAUUGAGGAAGAGUAAAGAGAAUGAAGCUGGGGGAUCAGACUCGACAGAUGACGGAGCAACAGCCCAGACACAUCAAGUAUGUCCACAUAUCAACAAAUCAGUUAAUUUUGCCGCAAUGCGAAAGGCGAUUCUGAAGACUAAUUGUGGUGAAUGUGUGUUAUGUAGUAAAGAUAAUAAAGCGGGUAAAGAUAAAGAAGUAGCUGUAGGAGGAGCGACUGCUGGGGCGACUGCUGGUACCCCAGAAAUUGAUGACAUAGAACAUGAAACAACUAUAUGGGUGUGUCUACAAUGUGGAAAUCAGGGCUGUGAUCGUAAUUCUAAAGAUAAACAUGCAUUAAAGCAUUAUGAAACCCCACAUUCUGGUUGUCAUUGUGUAACUAUUAAUCUUACAACCUGGGCCUGUUGGUGCUAUACCUGUGAUGAUGAUGUACCUGUAGAAACAUCUAAAAGAAUCCAGGAAUGUGUCGAGUUUCUACGCAAACAAUCUGGUUUAACUCGAGGAGAUCAUACUACAGG
Patella vulgata (common limpet) is the source of this 986-nucleotide long non-coding RNA. RefSeq lists it as uncharacterized. The record is from RefSeq and is a predicted model, not a curated record. Lineage: Eukaryota; Metazoa; Mollusca; Gastropoda; Patellidae. The transcript has 6 exons.